Molecule: non-coding RNA, 30 nt
Filed under: Rattus norvegicus (Norway rat)
Lineage: Eukaryota; Metazoa; Chordata; Mammalia; Rodentia; Muridae
Source: RNAcentral
UAGCCUUAUGAUCAUAUGCAGACACUAGGC